This 151-nucleotide ribosomal RNA is filed under the name uncultured bacterium. Its description in RNAcentral is "partial 16S ribosomal RNA". It matches the Rfam family "Bacterial small subunit ribosomal RNA", at positions 354 to 509 of the family's 1533-position model. The record is from RNAcentral.
UGGGGGAAUAUUGCACAAUGGGCGCAAGCCUGAUGCAGCGACGCCGCGUGCGGGAUGGAGGCCUUCGGUGUAACCGCUUUGUUCAAGGGCAAGGCAGGCUUUCGGGCCUGUUGAGUGGAUUGUUCGAAUAAGCACCGGCUAACUACGUGCC